GAUUAUGGCUCAGGAUGAACGCUGGCGGCGUGCCUAAUACAUGCAAGUGAAACGGGUAUCUUCGGAUACCAGUCGCGGACGGGUGAGUAAUACAUAGGCAACCUGCCUUUAGUGAGGGGGGAUAACCGAGGGAAACUUUGGCUAAUACCGCAUGAAGACUCUAAGGCAUCUUAGAGGGAUAAAAGUGGAAACAACGCAUGAAGAUGGGCUUAUGGCGCAUUAGCUAGUUGGUGAGAUAGAAGCCCACCAAGGUAAUGAUGCGUAGCCGACCUGAGAGGGUGAACGGCCACAUUGGGACUGAGACACGGCCCAAACUCCUACGGGAGGCAGCAGUAGGGAAUUUUCGGCAAUGGGGGGAACCCUGACCGAGCAACGCCGCGUGAAAAGGAAGAAGGUUUUCGGAUUGUAAACUUCUGUUAUAAGGGAAGAACGGAUUGGAUAGGGAAUGAUCUGAUAGUGACGGUACCUUAUUAGAAAGCCACGGCUAACUACGUGCCAGCCGCAGC
This 506-nucleotide ribosomal RNA is filed under the name uncultured bacterium. RNAcentral describes it as "bacterial SSU rRNA". It matches the Rfam family "Bacterial small subunit ribosomal RNA", at positions 15 to 518 of the family's 1533-position model. The record is from RNAcentral.